Small nucleolar RNA from Cucurbita maxima (winter squash), 109 nucleotides. RefSeq annotates it as small nucleolar RNA R64/Z200 family. The record is from RefSeq and is a predicted model, not a curated record. The transcript has a single exon. Lineage: Eukaryota; Viridiplantae; Streptophyta; Magnoliopsida; Cucurbitales; Cucurbitaceae.
CUUCUGCGGUGAUGAGUUAUGAAUGAAAUUCACAUGUCAGACUUCAGAGAUUUUUCUUUUCUCGGAAGGAAAAGUCUAUGAGAAUGAAUAUUCAUAUUCUGAGCCUGAG